GACGGGGGAGGCAAGCGUUGUCCGGAUUCAUUGGGCGUAAAGAGCUCGUAGGCGGCUUGGCAAGUCAGAUGUGAAACCCUCAGGCUUAACCUGGGGCCGCCAUCUGAUACUGCUAUGGCUAGAGUCCGGUAGGGGAUCGUGGAAUUCCUGGAGUAGCGGUGAAAUGCACAGAUCUCAGGAGGAACACCAGUGGCGAAGGCGGCGAUCUGGGCCGGUACUGACGCUGAGGAGCGAAAGCGUGGGGAGCAAACAGG
RNAcentral lists this ribosomal RNA (254 nucleotides) under uncultured bacterium. Its description in RNAcentral is "partial 16S ribosomal RNA". It matches the Rfam family "Bacterial small subunit ribosomal RNA", at positions 524 to 776 of the family's 1533-position model. The record is from RNAcentral.